GGCCCUGCUUUUGUGGGGUGCUCGAGUGGCGAACGGGUGAGUAACACGUGAGUAACCUGCCCUUGACUUUGGGAUAACUUCAGGAAACUGGGGCUAAUACCGGAUAGGAGCUCCUGCUGCAUGGUGGGGGUUGGAAAGUUUCGGCGGUUGGGGAUGGACUCGCGGCUUAUCAGCUUGUUGGUGGGGUAGUGGCUUACCAAGGCUUUGACGGGUAGCCGGCCUGAGAGGGUGACCGGCCACAUUGGGACUGAGAUACGGCCCAGACUCCUACGGGAGGCAGCAGUGGGGAAUAUUGCACAAUGGGCGGAAGCCUGAUGCAGCAACGCCGCGUGCGGGAUGACGGCCUUCGGGUUGUAAACCGCUUUCGCCUGUGACGAAGCGUGAGUGACGGUAAUGGGUAAAGAAGCACCGGCUAACUACGUGCCAGCAGCCGCGGUGAUACGUAGGGUGCGAGCGUUGUCCGGAUUUAUUGGGCGUAAAGGGCUCGUAGGUGGUUGAUCGCGUCGGAAGUGUAAUCUUGGGGCUUAACCCUGAGCGUGCUUUCGAUACGGGUUGACUUGAGGAAGGUAGGGGAGAAUGGAAUUCCUGGUGGAGCGGUGGAAUGCGCAGAUAUCAGGAGGAACACCAGUGGCGAAGGCGGUUCUCUGGGCCUUUCCUGACGCUGAGGAGCGAAAGCGUGG
Molecule: ribosomal RNA, 680 nt
Filed under: uncultured Propionibacterium sp.
Lineage: Bacteria; Bacillati; Actinomycetota; Actinomycetes; Propionibacteriales; Propionibacteriaceae
Description: bacterial SSU rRNA
Rfam family: Bacterial small subunit ribosomal RNA
Source: RNAcentral